RNAcentral lists this long non-coding RNA (793 nucleotides) under Numida meleagris (helmeted guineafowl). Its description in RNAcentral is "lncRNA (ENSNMEG00000006594.1)". The record is from RNAcentral. Lineage: Eukaryota; Metazoa; Chordata; Aves; Galliformes; Numididae.
AUAAGGUCUGAUUUUAUGUGCAAACCCAGUGCUCUUUAGACAUCAAUUCUCUGUCUCUCCCAGGAACUCUUCAUCUCACUGCACUGAUAAGAGAAUAAGCUGGUCUAAAUCAGUUGGGAGACUUGAGACGAGGUGAACUUAUCUCCUAACCUCCUUCACCACAAAGCAUUUGAUUAAUUGGAGCAGCAUCUUUCCAGUGUCCUUCUUUCCACUAAGGAGUGACUAGCCAAACCCGCAUUGCUCUUUCAGAAGAUCAAAGGGACUGCUGCCCACCUAAUGGCAGGCCAGACAGGAUUGUUCCAUUAUGCCUGGACAGAUAUUCCCCAGGAAGCCUUCUACUCACAAGCCAGGGCUGACUAUAGAUCCUAACACAAAGCAGAAGCAAUUCUCCUGGGAAACCCUCAGAGCCAUGCCCAGUGAAGCUAUAUGGACAGAAUGCAGAGUAUAUCUGUACACAGCGCAGCCUUUCCUAUGUUGGGUCCAUAACCCAGUGCUGAGCAAAGAGUACACGGCGAGAGGGCCUUCUUAUGAUUUAGAUAACAUUUUUCUAUAGCAAAAGUUGUAUGGCUAAUUGGGUUUGGGUCUUUCAGGAGUCUACAGUCAGUCUUUCAGGAGUCUUUGAACAAGUCUACAAAACAAUGAGUCUUGUGCACUCCAAAUUUCCCAUAUGACUGUUUUGCAAGUGGAUGGAGUCAGCAAUAAGGUCACAGACACCAAGUUAAAGAAGUACGUUUAUCUUUACUUACGUUUAAAGCAAUGAGAUAACGGUACAAAGGCUCUUAUAUUAUUUUUU